AUGAACCAGCUGCAAAAAUCAAUAAGUGCAAAAUUUAAGCGUGAAUACGCUGCGAAAAUAAAAAAGUUAAAAAUUCAAUGUGAAUUCGCCGCAAAAAUCAAGAUGUGCAACAAAAAUCAUUUUGGUUUUGCUCAAAUGAGGAUGAUAGGAUUUAUUCAACAAAGACAUAAAAAGGAUAAACAGGAAAAAUCACAAGGGAACAUGAUGAGGUAGGCAUUAUAUACAGGCGAACGGCUUUUAGAGAUGAGCCUAUGCUACAUUCACAAUCAAACACGAGCGAUUAUUCAAUAUAAAUUCUGAUUAAGACAAAGUCGUUAAAGAUCACGCCGGAAUGAAAUAUCAGCCUCCAUUGACUACCUUAUUAAAAAUUCCAGACUAAAAAUUUGUAGCAUUUUUAUUCUGGCACCGAAACAGAAAUAGAUAGACCGAUUUUUAGCAAAUUCGAGCUUCGGCAAGAAAGAAAUAAGAAAUUUCUUCUCUCUCUAGAGAAGAAACAUGAAUUGAAAGAAAAGGAGAUACGUCAAAAACAAAGCAGAAACCAGAAACUUAAAAAAGAACAAUCUUCCAUUACUAUUUGUGACUCACAAUAAACGAGUCCUCUGGCUAUGAGUCUCUCAGCAAGAUUGGUGUUCGCCACUGCCGUCUUCCUGUAUGUAUUUACAGUGCGGGAGUUGGUAGGAACAGCAAGAGUUAGUUGGAGGGCUAAGACUGCGUUUGGGUGUGGGGCUUUUUUGCUUUUUUUCUGUUUUUCUUCAAUCCAAAUAUUUGAUUGACAGGGACCAAAUCUGUAGAUUAAAUAUGUGGACAUUACAGAGCGAAAAUAAGUGGCUACCAAACACGGUCUUAACCAGGGUUGGUGGCAGGGCGAUUUCCUUUUCAUGUAUGAAGUAUAAACAACAUUCACGCUAGUGGGAAUUGGAGGCGGUAGGUGGCGAAACACUCUUUUCAGGGACUAGUUAGAGGGUUAUAUUAAU
RNAcentral lists this long non-coding RNA (974 nucleotides) under Carica papaya (papaya). Its description in RNAcentral is "long non-coding RNA (CPAP_LNC004677)". The record is from RNAcentral. Lineage: Eukaryota; Viridiplantae; Streptophyta; Magnoliopsida; Brassicales; Caricaceae.